This is a non-coding RNA of Vicia faba (fava bean), 246 nucleotides long. The record is from the annotation of a GenBank genome assembly. NCBI's taxonomy places the organism in Eukaryota, Viridiplantae, Streptophyta, Magnoliopsida, Fabales, Fabaceae.
AUGUCAAUACAAAACACUGAACGUACAGCUUUGCUCCAAGAAUACAAGUCACCAAAUUAUUGCACAAUAAUACUGAAUUUCACAAACAAAGCUCAAGGAGAUUGUUUUAACCAUAAAGAGAUCGCUACAACUUACAUACUAAACCAAACCUUAAUCCCCUUAAGUGACAAACCUAUGUGGUUUCUCCAUAUAUAUUUAUCUUCUUCAAGAUGUCCAAGAAGGAAGGAAUUUUUAGUGUUUACUUGA